GCGCGUGUAGCUCAGCGGUAGAGCGCUCCCUUGACAUGGGAGAGGUUUCGUAGGUUCGAUCCCUGCCUCGCGCACCA
Molecule: transfer RNA, 77 nt
Filed under: Alphaproteobacteria bacterium
Lineage: Bacteria; Pseudomonadati; Pseudomonadota; Alphaproteobacteria
Description: tRNA-Val
Rfam family: tRNA
About the family: Transfer RNA (tRNA) molecules are approximately 80 nucleotides in length. Their secondary structure includes four short double-helical elements and three loops (D, anti-codon, and T loops). Further hydrogen bonds mediate the characteristic L-shaped molecular structure. tRNAs have two regions of fundamental functional importance: the anti-codon, which is responsible for specific mRNA codon recognition, and the 3' end, to which the tRNAs corresponding amino acid is attached (by aminoacyl-tRNA synthetases). tRNAs cope with the degeneracy of the genetic code in two manners: having more than one tRNA (with a specific anti-codon) for a particular amino acid; and 'wobble' base-pairing, i.e. permitting non-standard base-pairing at the 3rd anti-codon position.
Source: RNAcentral